Molecule: ribosomal RNA, 596 nt
Filed under: Staphylococcus aureus
Lineage: Bacteria; Bacillati; Bacillota; Bacilli; Caryophanales; Staphylococcaceae
Description: bacterial SSU rRNA
Rfam family: Bacterial small subunit ribosomal RNA
Source: RNAcentral
UUUUAUGGAGAGUUUGAUCCUGGCUCAGGAUGAACGCUGGCGGCGUGCCUAAUACAUGCAAGUCGAGCGAACGGACGAGAAGCUUGCUUCUCUGAUGUUAGCGGCGGACGGGUGAGUAACACGUGGAUAACCUACCUAUAAGACUGGGAUAACUUCGGGAAACCGGAGCUAAUACCGGAUAAUAUUUUGAACCGCAUGGUUCAAAAGUGAAAGACGGUCUUGCUGUCACUUAUAGAUGGAUCCGCGCUGCAUUAGCUAGUUGGUAAGGUAACGGCUUACCAAGGCAACGAUGCAUAGCCGACCUGAGAGGGUGAUCGGCCACACUGGAACUGAGACACGGUCCAGACUCCUACGGGAGGCAGCAGUAGGGAAUCUUCCGCAAUGGGCGAAAGCCUGACGGAGCAACGCCGCGUGAGUGAUGAAGGUCUUCGGAUCGUAAAACUCUGUUAUUAGGGAAGAACAUAUGUGUAAGUAACUGUGCACAUCUUGACGGUACCUAAUCAGAAAGCCACGGCUAACUACGUGCCAGCAGCCGCGGUAAUACGUAGGUGGCAAGCGUUAUCCGGAAUUAUUGGGCGUAAAGCGCGCGUAGGCGG